Brienomyrus brachyistius is the source of this 2750-nucleotide long non-coding RNA. RefSeq lists it as uncharacterized. Lineage: Eukaryota; Metazoa; Chordata; Actinopteri; Osteoglossiformes; Mormyridae. The transcript has 4 exons. The record is from RefSeq and is a predicted model, not a curated record.
AAUAACUUACCAUUAUUAAUCUCCCACUGUGAGCCUUAUCCCAGGAGGAAGAGGGCAUUAGGCGGGGGGCAUCCCGGACAGGAAGUCACUCGCACGCCACGGAUAAUUUGGUCUCAAUGAUUCGCCUACUCGCAUGUUUUUGCACUGUGGGAAGGAUCCAGAGGUAUUUCAGGCAAGACGCGACCACGGUAGAACAUGCAAGCUCCACGUACAAAGAGCUGGGAGGCAAUCAAACCCACAACCUUGGAGAGCGGCGGCGAGGGGAAGGUUAAUGACAUAAGCUGCGAAGCGCCGGCAUCAUACAUCAUGCAGUGGAGGAGUCCUGGCUGCUGCUGCCUCGCAGCCCUUCAUGGCACUUGGAUCUCAUAACGUCCGACUUCAAAGGGGAGCGACCAAACGGGGCGUGAGGGACCACGGACUUUCGUACUACCUCCGUUCCUGUGACUGUAAGUCAACCCGGAGGAUCAUCUUUAAUUAGAAGCCACAGAAGAAGGUCACCAGCAUCCAGGCCCUGCUCCCCGUCCACAUCAAAGGGAAACAUCCCACUUUUCCUGUGUCAGCCCUGAGAAAAACAGCAGGACACGGCGGCCAGCAGUAGUGUGUGUGGGGAGCCACAGCCCCACCCCCCAGGACAUGAAGCAGACAUGGAAGAGACCCGGGCCCCAGACAUCCAGAGGCCCCCCAGGGCAUGGGACCCCUCCGGAGGACCACCACAGGGAGAAUUGCAGCCCCCACCCAGAAAAAGGGCAGAGGAGAGCUUCAGAGGGAGGUCAUCUGGCAGCCGCAGUGCAGGAGCCCCAGGGGACCGUGGCAGUGAGCCCGCAGGUCCCCAGGCCAGAGAUCCAAGGGCCCCCCCACCCCCCAGGAGGGGCCCGACAGAGCUAGGAGGGCCAGGCCUUGCCAAGCAUGGAGACACACAGAAAUGAACGUUGUACACACACUCACACUCCCCAUAUAUACUCUACACUCCCAGAUCCAGGCACCACUAUCCCCCAAAAGAGCAAUCCGCCAUCAGACCCCGGAGAUGGACCGGGGAGACAAGAAGACCACCCUGGUCCCCACAGCAGCCCAAGAAGCCCACCACCCCGACCGGACGGCCAGCUCUUCCUCUCAGACCCCAGCUCCAGCUGGUGAACAGAGAACGGGGGUGUGAAAAGACCCCAUGCCUCCCUUCGCCCACUCAGAUGUGGUGUUGCUGCAGUUUGAGGGACCAAGGCCAAGAUGAGCCACACUGGGCCUUGUUGGGUCUCCGAGGGGGAGAAACUGCUCUGUCAGAUCUGUGCUUAUGGUCUGGUGAUGUGUUUUUAAAGGUACAGAGCUGAGCUCCUCUCUGUAGCAGUUCUGGACAUCUGGACAAAUGGGUUUUGUCCCAUUUGCAUAAACUCAGCACACACUAUUGUCUUGACAUCCUUAAGAACUGCCAUAUUACUUACCCUUAGCAAUUUGAGAUCUACUUAAAGGUACAAACCUAUUGAUAUAUGUUUGUUACUGCUCUAUGCAUACAGUACUUUGUAGUGUAUUCAUGGGGAAAGUUGCCUUUUCUUUUAAUUGUGUCUAUCCAUCCAUCCAUCCAUGCAUCCAUUGUCCGCCACUAAUCUGGGUCAGGGUUGCUUGGGCAGCAUACUGAGCAGAGAUGUCCAGACCUUCCUCUACCCAGCCCCCUCCUCCAGCUCCUCCAGUGGGAGCCCCUGGUGUCUCCAAACCAGCCAAGAAAUACCACCUCUCCAGCGUGUCCUGGCUCUGCCCCAGUGUCUGCUCCCUGUUGGACAUGCUAAAUUCUGCCAUGCAUCCUAAUUAUAAACAGAAUAUCAUAUUCCUCAGGAGGAUCACAGUGCAUAGAAUGGGGAUUCUCGUCUCCGGCAUGGAGGGUUCGAUUCCCACACCCUGACCCGCACUAGGAGGUUUGCAUGAUGGAUAUGGGUGAAUCUCAACACCAAGAACUCAAAGACCGUACUUGUGGUCUUGGCAAGCCUAGUCCUGCAAACUUGCCAUCCAAGAACGAAUGAGACCAAUCCCACAAUUCAUUGUGCCUCAUUCGGCGAGGAUACAAGUAAUGCAUCCUUGAUAUUUGGGGUGGCAAAGGCAACAUCUGCAGAUUUAAUGUCCUCAGUACUUCUGUUCUUGAGUAUUGGGACUGGUGUUCGGUAAUGGAAGAUGACAUGAAACAGGUACAAGAGAAUACGAGUACGGUCAAGUAUGCAUAUUGAGAUUCACCCCUUGUCUUGUGUGGUUCUGCUAUAGACGCUCCCAUUUCCUGCUGCAGUUCAAAUACACGCGGUUCAGAUGACCUGAUUUGUAAGCGAGUGUUUAUGUCCCAUGAUGCACCGGGAUUCUGCUCAGGACAGCUCACGCUGCCUGGGAGAGGCUCAAGGUUCAACUGGGUUACCAUGGUUGGAUGUAGAGUCAUUACAGUCACACCCCACAGUACAUGCCCUCGCGGAGGGUCUGUACUGCGACCUGCUGCCCAGAGUGCAUGCAGGGCAUUCAGGUCAGUGGUACGCUGCCCCAGCAUGCAUCUUGGAACUAUUCCCACAAUACUUUGCAUGCAUACAAAGCCCCACCCCCUAAGUUACUUUCAGCACGUUUAGGAAAAACAGCAUGAAAGGUACAAUUCGCCACCGGAAUUAUGCGAAACGCAGCUAAGCAUGUCUAAUUAAGUAAUUAAAUGUGGAGCAGAAACACGAGCGUUAGCCUGCUAGUCAUUAUGCUACUACAACAGGAAAGUAGAAAAGCUAAACAUCUUUAAGUAA